Long non-coding RNA from Ictalurus punctatus (channel catfish), 1789 nucleotides. The record is from Ensembl. Lineage: Eukaryota; Metazoa; Chordata; Actinopteri; Siluriformes; Ictaluridae.
GAUCAAUGGUGACGGGUGAUUGGAUGUUGUGAACAAUGGUGAUCAGUGAUUGGUUUUUGGGAAGAGUUGUAAUCAGUAAUUGGUUGUUGUGAACAAUUGUGAUCAGUGAUUGGUUGUUGGGAAGAGUUGCAAUCGGUAAUUGGUUGUUGUGAACAAUGGUGACCAGUGAUUGGUUGUUGGGAACAGUUGUAAGCAGUAAUUGGUUGUUGUGAACAAUGGUGAUCAGUUACUGGUUGUUGGGAACAGUUGUGAUCAGUGAUUGGUUGUUGAGAAGCCAUGGUGCUCAGUAACUGAUUGUUGGUUACAGUGUUGAUCAACAACUGUUGUUUGGGAGCAAUGGUGAUUAGUGCCUGGUUGCUAAGAAGAGCUGUCAUCAGUGAUUAGUCAUCGGGAACGAUAGUGGUCAGUGCUAUAUCGAGUGCAGUACAGUGGCUGAACAUCUGCUCGUUUAGUCACUGAUCUCGCAACACUGGAGCUGUGUAUAAACGAAGGCUGAGGUGAGCGCGGCGCUGAAGCAGGAGCGAGACAAACCUGCUUCAUGACAACCGUUUUUUUUUUAACCCAAAAACUUUGUACGGCUUAAAAACCCUCUGGAAAUGAGUAUGAACACUAAGAUAAUCGAAAAUAAAAAUAAUUUCUUUAGUAGGAGCAAUAAGAGCUCAAAGUGCCUGUAAGUCACCGAGGUCAUUUUUCACACAUACACAGAAGUGUUCCUUAUUAAGUCUCCGAAAAGACGGGGACCAGGUCUGACCGAGCCGAGCGCAGAGCACAGAGCACAGAGCACAGAGCUUUCGCGCUCGACUGUGUGUAAUCUGUUUUCAGACCUGAGCUCAUGGCCGAAACACUCUGCAAAAAAUAUUAACACCUCACAAAUCUGAUGACCCGUGAACACUUCCCGCCGAGGCGUUCCCCCCGAGCCAACCUCAGCGUGGACGAGCCCAGCUUACAGCUAACCCUUAAUAAAUCUUUCAAACGUUUUACUCUCUCUAGGACUGACCGGCACUGCUGCAGGGCUUGCAUAAACUUCUCUAAUAUAUAGCAUGCUUAUUUGAAUGGAAAGCCCACUCGUGGUUUUCAGAGGUCAGAGUCCGUGACCGAGCCUGGAUCUGUUUUUCGGAAGAAGACAAAAAGUGACAACUUCGGCGGGCCUGUAAUGGCACCCUGGUGACGUCGGGCUCGGAUAUCAAUUAGACCUGCUCAUUCAUGGUGGGAAGAGCGGGAGGUGGUUGCCGAGUUCUCCCCCUGCUGUGUUUGGUUUGGCCCGUCGCCGGCACGGCGCAGGUAUCCCACCCGAUUAAUGAGUGCCUGCUCUGUACUCAGUACUUCCUGUAAGUAUUGGCUGAGAGAGCCUGUACCUGUCCACUAGAAUUUUCUAUUUUCGCUUGAUCUGUCGUAUUUACUCUCUCUCUCGUUUCACUUUUAAUGCCGAAAUUCCUGUCAGUUCCUCUUUUUUUUCUUCCCCAAUUGUGCCUAAAACAAACUAAUAAGAAUGAAAAAGCAAUCUGUUACAAGAGUUAGUAGCCUAAAAGUCUGUUAUUUAACGUUCCGAGUGUGUUACCCGUCACCUUCCGGGAUUGGUAUCUGUCAUAUGAUAGGGGAGACCUAACUGCUGGGUGGGAAUUAAAUUAGGGAGAAAAAUUGGGGUCCAAACCCCCCCUACCAACAAACCCAACCACACAUUGUACGCAUUUUUAUCCGUUUAUAGUUACAGUUAAUGUUAUAGAACAUCUAAGACAAGCGAAUUAGUUCCUGUAGUUAACGUCACAGCGUCGACAAUCACACAGUUUUC